This 327-nucleotide ribosomal RNA is filed under the name uncultured eukaryote. RNAcentral's name for it is "partial 18S ribosomal RNA". It matches the Rfam family "Eukaryotic small subunit ribosomal RNA", at positions 1470 to 1796 of the family's 1831-position model. The record is from RNAcentral.
CCCCUAGAUGUUCUGGGCCGCACGCGCGCUACACUGAACAGUUCAACAAGUCUUAACCUUGGCCGAUAGGUCUGGGUAAUCUUUGAACGCUGUUCGUGAUUGGGAUAGACCUUUGCAAUUAUGGGUCUUCAACGAGGAAUUCCUAGUAAACGCAAGUCAUCAGCUUGCAUUGAUUACGUCCCUGCCCUUUGUACACACCGCCCGUCGCACCUACCGAUUGAAUGGUCCGGUGAAGCGCUCGGACCGCGGCCUCUUGACGGGUCUCCGUCGAUUGGCUGUGGGAAGUUCGUUAAACCUUAUCAUUUAGAGGAAGGAGAAGUCGUAACA